GGUCUUGUGGUGUAGUGGUUAUCACGUCUGCUUCACACGCAGAAGGUCGCCGGUUCGAUCCC
This 62-nucleotide transfer RNA is filed under the name Brugia timori. It matches the Rfam family "tRNA", at positions 1 to 60 of the family's 71-position model. From Rfam's summary of the family: Transfer RNA (tRNA) molecules are approximately 80 nucleotides in length. Their secondary structure includes four short double-helical elements and three loops (D, anti-codon, and T loops). Lineage: Eukaryota; Metazoa; Nematoda; Chromadorea; Rhabditida; Onchocercidae. The record is from Rfam by way of RNAcentral.